Molecule: ribosomal RNA, 1003 nt
Filed under: uncultured Klebsiella sp.
Lineage: Bacteria; Pseudomonadati; Pseudomonadota; Gammaproteobacteria; Enterobacterales; Enterobacteriaceae
Description: bacterial SSU rRNA
Rfam family: Bacterial small subunit ribosomal RNA
Source: RNAcentral
GGAAACUGCCUGAUGGAGGGGGAUAACUACUGGAAACGGUAGCUAAUACCGCAUAACGUCGCAAGACCAAAGUGGGGGACCUUCGGGCCUCAUGCCAUCAGAUGUGCCCAGAUGGGAUUAGCUGGUAGGUGGGGUAACGGCUCACCUAGGCGACGAUCCCUAGCUGGUCUGAGAGGAUGACCAGCCACACUGGAACUGAGACACGGUCCAGACUCCUACGGGAGGCAGCAGUGGGGAAUAUUGCACAAUGGGCGCAAGCCUGAUGCAGCCAUGCCGCGUGUGUGAAGAAGGCCUUCGGGUUGUAAAGCACUUUCAGCGGGGAGGAAGGCGAUGAGGUUAAUAACCUCGUCGAUUGACGUUACCCGCAGAAGAAGCACCGGCUAACUCCGUGCCAGCAGCCGCGGUAAUACGGAGGGUGCAAGCGUUAAUCGGAAUUACUGGGGCGUAAAGCGCACGCAGGCGGUCUGUCAAGUCGGAUGUGAAAUCCCCGGGCUCAACCUGGGAACUGCAUUCGAAACUGGCAGGCUAGAGUCUUGUAGAGGGGGGUAGAAUUCCAGGUGUAGCGGUGAAAUGCGUAGAGAUCUGGAGGAAUACCGGUGGCGAAGGCGGCCCCCCUGGACAAAGACUGACGCUCAGGUGCGAAAGCGUGGGGAGCAAACAGGAUUAGAUACCCUGGUAGUCCACGCUGUAAACGAUGUCGAUUUGGAGGUUGUGCCCUUGAGGCGUGGCUUCCGGAGCUAACGCGUUAAAUCGACCGCCUGGGGAGUACGGCCGCAAGGUUAAAACUCAAAUGAAUUGACGGGGGCCCGCACAAGCGGUGGAGCAUGUGGUUUAAUUCGAUGCAACGCGAAGAACCUUACCUGGUCUUGACAUCCACAGAACUUUCCAGAGAUGGAUUGGUGCCUUCGGGAACUGUGAGACAGGUGCUGCAUGGCUGUCGUCAGCUCGUGUUGUGAAAUGUUGGGUUAAGUCCCGCAACGAGCGCAACCCUUAUCCUUUGUUG